Molecule: RNA transcript, 2412 nt
Organism: Vigna radiata var. radiata (mung bean)
Lineage: Eukaryota; Viridiplantae; Streptophyta; Magnoliopsida; Fabales; Fabaceae
Gene name: transcription initiation factor TFIID subunit 15b
Exons: 7
Source: RefSeq, a predicted model, not a curated record
CUUUGAGUAUGUGGCCCAUUUUAUUUCACAGUGCUUUCUUUACAUCAGUUCACAAACCCGUUGCUAAAAAUCUCACUGAUUUUUCGUCUUUCGCGGUCCCAACGAACCCUAGAUCGGAUCAUGUCUGGAGCAUACGGUCAAGACGGCGGCGGCGGCUCUGCGCCACCGUCAUAUGGAGCCAGCGGUGGAUACGGUUCCGGUGGUGGUAGUUAUGGAGGCGGAACCUAUGGAGGGGGCGGUGCCGGUGGAGGAUACGGUGGUAACGAUGGCGGUGGAGGUUACGGAGGGAAAAACAGCGGAAACGGCGGCGGAUACGGUGGUAACGAUGGCGGGGGUUAUGGAGGAAGGAGCGGCUACGGUGGAAACGAUGGCGGAGGCUAUGGAGGAAGAGGCGGUGGUCAAGGUGGCCGGGGAGGUGGAGGAUUCGGUGGUGGAUAUGGUGGUCGAGGUGGAGGUGGAGGUGGAGGUGGAGGUGGCGGUGGCGGUGGCGGAUAUCAAGGUGGUGAUCGCGGUGGUCGUGGCGGAGGUCGCGGCGGAGGCGGCCGUGGCGGCAGCGGCAGAGAUGGAGACUGGCGUUGCCCUAACCAAAGUUGUGGGAAUUUGAACUUUGCGAGAAGGGUUGAAUGUAACAAAUGCGGUGCUCCUUGUCCUAAUCCGAAUAGUUCCAAUGAACGUGGUGGAAGUGGUGGGGGUGGGGGUGGCUUUAGUAGAGGCGGAGGUGGCGGUGGGGGGUAUGGUAACACGCGAGGGGGAAGAUCUGGGAACUAUGAUGGAGGGAGAGGUAAUGACUAUAACAGUGGAGGGGGUCGAUCUGGUAACUAUGAUGGUGGAAGGGGUAAUGAUUAUAAUAGUGGAAGGGGUGGUAGUAAUGAUGGUAGAGGUGGUUCAUAUAGAGGUAAUCAAGGUAGAGAAGAUGGUAGCUACGGUCAAGUUCCCGCUCCUAAUGCCCAAUCUUAUGGUAGUGCUGGUGGAAGCUUCCCACCCUCUUACAGUUCUUAUGGUGGGAAUGCAAGUUAUGGAACUGAUGCAGUUCCUCCACCUUCAAGCUAUACUGGCGGACCUAAUUCCUAUCCUCCAUCGUAUGGGGGUAAUGUCGGAGGUUAUGGGGGAGAUAAUCAAGGGAAUGGACGGAGUGGUGGUAGAUCUGGGCCUCCUUCUGGGUUUGACAAUAGUUAUGGUGCUGGUAAUCGAGGUGGAUUUGGUGGGUCUCCUGCCGAGCCCCCAGCUGCAGUGAAGCAGUGUGAUGAGAAUUGUGAUGACACUUGCGACAACUCUAGAAUAUACAUCUCAAACCUUCCACCAGAUGUGUCAAUUGAAGAAUUGAGGGAACUUUUUGGAGGCAUUGGACAAGUUGGAAGGAUAAAGCAGAAGAGAGGCUACAAAGAUCAGUGGCCUUGGAACAUUAAGAUUUACACAGAUGAGAAUGGAAAUAACAAGGGAGAUGCUUGUCUUGCUUAUGAAGACCCUUCUGCAGCACAUUCGGCUGGCGGUUUUUACAAUAAUUAUGAUUUGAGGGGUUACAAAAUCAGUGUUGCAAUGGCAGAAAAAUCUGCUCCAAGAGCUGCACCUGCUUAUAACCAAGGGGGCAAUAGGGGUGGCUAUGGUGGAGAUAGACGCCGAGACAACUAUAGAGAUGGAGGUGGCUCUGGGCCUGAUAGGCGUGAUCAUUAUGGAAAUCGUUCUCGUCCGUACUAGGAGCUUGGACAUUGAACGUUUUAUGUACUAUGAAUUGUGGGCUGAGGGUUUAAUUAUUUCAGUUGGCUGGUUUCUUGAACUGGAAGCAAAGAGGUAGGUUGUUCACUUACUUUGAGCAAUACCUCUUCCGCUCCUUUUUUGUUUCAAUUGUCUAGAUGGUGGGUUUUGAAUUUAGCCAGGGAUUAAUUUAAUCAUGUGAAUGUUUUUAUAGAGGCAAGUGGAUAGUCUCCCAAUUGCUUGCUGCUAAGGUAGGUGUUGAAUAUUUCAGCCAAUAGGGAAGUCAAGUAUCUUUUGGACUUCAUAAUACGGCAUGUGUUGCUUUUGGCAAGCUAACUAUUGGAGUCCGCACUUCACAGUUGCAUUCCUCUGCCACUUAUUCUCUGCAGUCCAAGUUUGUUUCUACUUUCUGAUAAAAUUAGUACACAGUUGCACUGCGAGUUUGAUUUAAUGUUCACACAUCUAUAUCCGGUGGCUUUUGCGUAUUUGGUACUUGCGAGCAGAACUUUCUUCCAUGGGGCUAUUGUGGGUGACAAGUGUCGUUGCUUCCAAACCAUGCUUGUUCAUUUAGUUCCUUACCAAUGGAUGCUAUAAAAUUCAAAUGUACUUUGACCCGUAGUGUAGAUUGUGAUAGCCUGUUUGAUUUGUUGGUUGGGAAUUUUUACUUUUUUAAACCAUGUCAUUCUUCUAGUUAUUAAAAUACCCCUUCCUUUCUGACUA